CCCAGAGAUACCAAGAAUAAAGACUAUCCAGUGUAUUUGGCAGAGGAAAAAAAAAACCCACUGAACAUCCAGAAAAGGGUAGUGGGGUGGGAGCCAGAUCAUCAGAGGCUGAAGGGAGGCUGUGUGGGACAAAGAUGAUGGCAGCACACUGAGACCACUUGUUUAAAAAGCUCAGCAAUGAAAAUUAAAGAAAUGAGGUGGUCACUGGAGGGGACAGCAGAGCAAACUAACAAGUUGGGGUUUUUUGUUUGUUUUUUUUUUUUUUUUUUUUUUUUUUGGUGACGUGUGAAGGCAGAAGGAAAUAAAAGCAGAAUGAAGCAGAAACUGAAGGUCCUAGAGAUGAAGGCAAAACAUGUGGUAACAAGUUUCUUGAGGAAUUUGGAAGGGAUGGGAUCUAAGGCACAGGUGCCAGAUUGAGCCUUGGGAAGGAGAAUCUGUAAUUGUUAACUCCUGACAGUCCUCCCAAAACCAUGGGUUACAGAAUCCACUUGAAGUGCAUUCUUUUAAAUUUUAAGGGAAAAAAACCCAAUUAUUUUUUGCCAGCAGAUUUCUUAGAAAAUUUGGAUGACUGGACAUUCUGACAUUUCUUAAAACUGAUCUUGAUAAAAGAAGAUAGCACAUGAAUCAUCACUUCUGACCCCCCCUUCCAAAUGUGACCUUUCCAGGCUGUAAUCUACUGACCACAACCCAUAGGUCGUUGUCCCAAGUGACAUAAUGAUACUUCUGCUUCAUUAGUCUUAGUGUCUUGCUGCUUUGGGAAGAUUACUCUGAGUCAGAUGUUUUAGGAGGAACAGAGAGCAGGAGAAGAGUCAGGAAUAAGCUGUGGGUUUAUGUGUACAAGGUAAUUAGAAAAUCUCCAUGGAGAAGAAAACAACCAUAAGAGGAAAGCUGAAAGGCAUUGCCAAGGCUUAUAGAAUAGUGGGAAGGAUAUGAGCUUUAGGACUGGACAGACUUAGUCUCAAAUCCAAGCUCCUUCUCUUCUGUGUGCUGUGUGCCUCUGGGUAAAUUUCUCUUUCCAUUCUUCUUGUUGCUUCAUUACAUAGUGGGUAUAAGCUUUACCUCACAUGGUUGAUCAAAGAAUUAAAGUCCUGAUGGAUUCAAGGAUAUAGCAGAACUUAGGCAAGCAAUACAGGGUAGCUGUACUUCCUAUAUAAUUAUUUAGGAAGUGUUCUUAACCCAUCGAAAAUAAGCUGUCAUAUUUCCAUCAUUUGUUUACCACAGAUGGUCAAUUAAUACCUGUUUACAUUUAAGUGGUUAACUUAGCAGCCUUCUCUGAACAGCAGUGGCAAACUGUCUAAAGGUCAGUUAACACAUCAGCAGGCAAACGUAAAACAACUGGCCUUUCUCUACAUCACCAUGUUGCUUUUUCUCGGUGCCUACCGGGACUUGAUACAACCAUUCUUCUCUCUAAUACGAAGGCCUGCAAUGAGGAGACAGUAAAUGUGAGGGGUCCUGUGGUCCUAGAAGACGAAUCCCCAAGGAGGAAUGGAGUCCCUGAAGUUCUUAUUUUCUGAAGCCGUCAAAUAUGGCCCAUGCCCCAGCCUAUGAUCACCCUUUUACAUUUCUGAGUAUAGAUCCUUAUCCACAUGUGAGGCAGAGUAAAUCAACUCAAAUAUUCACUGGGAUCAAAGGAACAUCUCUUGAAAUUAAUCCUUUAAAUGCAUGCCACAUAGUACCUUGAACCUCCUUUAAUUAUGGUAUUAGACCCACUGCUGAAUUAUGGCUUUUGAUAUAAUUAAACUGAACCUUUUUAGAGCAACUUGUGGUAUAUUUCAGGCAUUCUCUGUCUGGCAGUUUAAGGGAUCUAGAGUUUGAGGACUACAUCCAUUCCCCAUUUAUCAAGGCAAAAGAAAAAAUGUUAUGAUAAAUCCUUGGAAUCAAUGCAUAAACUCAGUAAUAAGAUGUCUCAGUCGUGACUGGAAAGGCAAAUAUAUCGUACUAAUACAUCGUAAUAACCAUAAUCAUUGGUGUUUGAGGGAAGGUCAGCUUGCCUCCAGUUUUACACAACAAUUAAGAAUCAGUUCAAGUGCAAAAAUGGAACGUGGUCUUAGUGACCAGGAUACAUUUGCUAAAGAUAGCAUACCCCUUGCCCAUUUGAUCCUCCUGGUGGCAGUUCCCUGCAUACUGAGUUCUAUGACUUAAGAGUUAUAAAGGGUUUGGCAUGAGCUUUUUCCUGCUCUAUAUCAUGGCUGGAAUUAGUUGCUAACCCAAUCCUGGGCUUUGGUUUGGUGCUGGGCACUACUAAAUUAAGUCAUAUUACUUUGAGAGGCCCUGCCACAAUUUCUUUUUUCAUUUCCUGGGUCUCUAGAGCCCACAUGAUUGGGCAGAGGUAAACUGAAGCAAAUUAUUAUUAUUAUUUUUUAUUUUCCCACAAAUUAUUUUCUUUGAGUUAAAACAGAGAAUAUCCUACAUGAGACAACACCUACAAAAUGAUCCAAACUUAAACUCAGCUAAUUGUGUAAAGUUAACAUUGCGAAGUUAGUAAAGUUAAUGUGACACAUGUUUAAUGAUACACAUUAUUGUGCCACAUGAUAAUGAGGCAUAAAUGGUAAGCAACUAAUAUAUAUGACUGAAAUUAGUAGUUUUACACAACCAGACCAAAUAUGAAUUGAUCUUUUUUUUUCUUUUUGCUUCAUUAAUGUUCCAUUUUCUAUAAAAAGUAUCCAUAAUGACAGCUGCUCCGACGUUUUGCCUUAGGAAUCUCAGUAGAAUAUUACUGCACUGUUUUCAAAAUGCACUGCUCUAAAUCAUUCAUUCAUUGAGGGUUUGUGCUAUUCAACCAAGCCAUACUGGCUGUAUCAAUACUUUCGAGAAAGUUUUAAAAGAUGCUGCAUACUGUCACCUCUGGAUCUAUGUUCUGUCCUCUGCCUACCAUGUAGCCGGGGUGGCUGAACUGUGUGGAUCUGGCAGUGAGACUCCUCACCCUCCAACCUCCUGACAACUAUAGGAGGGAUAUCCCAGAGUGAGGGAAUAUGUAUAUACCCCAAGUCCCAGCCCCACGGGGUCUCAAAUAUUUCAGCUCUGUACCGCUGCCUCUUCAGCAGCAUCCUUUCUGUCUCCAGGGCUCAGUCCCCACCGCUUUGCCAUACAGUUCCUUCAGGUGGAGGGUUGUGGAAAGCCCUGCUCUCACACUGGUUCACCACACUGUCCCUGCAGUUUGCUUCUACCCAGCUCGUGGAAGGGAUGUUAUACUCUUAAACUUUCUUAUCUUGAAUGUGCCAUCUUUUUUCUCCUUAAACCUACUGAUUCAAAAAGUAUGAUUUUGCCUCUGGCAUUUAUGUUGUCAUAGUUAACAAAAAGCAAGGUUCUCCUAACACCUCAGUGUUUGUUUUACCUCUGUUGUCACUUUGUCAGUCUUGGUGUGGGGAAUGUAAUAGAUACUGAAUAUCUACUUGUUGAUUGAAUGAAUGAAUCGUUGUAAUGUGUAGUAUUUCCUGAAUUAGUUUCUAACAUCAGUAUUAUUCCAGUAAGACAAUUAAUGGUCAAAGUGUAUAUUGCAUAUAGACCGGUGUAGCUAAAGUUCUUAUUUUGCCAUGUUUGCUAAGAGAGCAGU
This 3553-nucleotide long non-coding RNA is filed under the name Sus scrofa (pig). Its description in RNAcentral is "lncRNA (ENSSSCG00000054367.1)". Lineage: Eukaryota; Metazoa; Chordata; Mammalia; Artiodactyla; Suidae. The record is from RNAcentral.